UCACGUGCUACAAUGGCAUAUACAAUGAGAAGCAAUACCGCGAGGUGGAGCAGAUCUAUAAAAUAUGUCUUAGUUCGGAUUGUUCUCUNNAANCUCGAGAGCAUGAAGCC
Molecule: ribosomal RNA, 110 nt
Filed under: uncultured bacterium
Lineage: Bacteria
Description: partial 16S ribosomal RNA
Rfam family: Bacterial small subunit ribosomal RNA
Source: RNAcentral